CAGAGAGAAAUUCUCUUGAUCAAUUGUUCUUGACAGAUGUGUAUAUGGCAGUGUAUUAGGCAUCGCUCUUAAAUGUCUUUUUUUUAGAUUGUACGUGGAAAUCUAGGAAGAUUCAUUCAUUUGUUUGUUUGGUUUGGUUUAUUUGUAUGGUUUUAGUAAAACAAAAUCAUUGAUAUUUCUGUUUCCUGCAACAUCUCUCCAGAACUCUCCAGGAUGUACCCCACCCACGCCCACCUGUUGCCUGGAUAGGCUCCAGCAACCCUCGAAAUUAUCAUACAGAUUAUUUGGAAAGUGGAUGGAUGGAUAUUUUAUGCUGUUAAACGCACAUCCCAUUAAUUGCCCAAGGCGCUUUGCAAUCACAGACCCAUUCACCCAGUCACACACUGGUGGGGGCUCUGCUGCCGUACACUGGGACCAACCUACCACCAGAGGCAAGAUGGGGUUCAGUGUCUUGCCCAAGGACACUUCGACACAUGGGUGUACACCGGGAAUUGAACUUGCAAUCUUACAAUGAUGGGUCGACCGCCCUACCACUGCACCACUGCACCACGACCACCCGUGAUAAGGAUCCAGACCUCUUCCAGUCGCCGCUGAGACACCCCACGAACCGCAGACUGACACACAAGAAACAAGAGCACACACUCUUCUCGGACCUACUUUAGUUUUUUUCAUGCAGUGAACUUGAGCUUUUUUCCUCUAGUCUAAUGUAUGACUAGAUGAUCAAUAAUUACUCUAGAUUUCUUUGCCGCUUCAAAAACAUCCAUGGCUCC
Long non-coding RNA from Oryzias latipes (Japanese medaka), 770 nucleotides. RefSeq lists it as uncharacterized. The record is from RefSeq and is a predicted model, not a curated record. Lineage: Eukaryota; Metazoa; Chordata; Actinopteri; Beloniformes; Adrianichthyidae.